CAGACACGGACGUCCACACAGACCCACCAGCCUCGUGUCUCCUUCACACACACAGAGAAACUGAAUCAAUAUGAAAAUAAUUCUUUGAGAAAUAUUAUUAAUAAUUUAACCAGAGUGACACUCAGUUUGUUUUCUAACAGUUAAAUCUCACCUGCAGAGACAAACAUGAAGACUCCAUCGAACAUCAGCAAAGUGGAGCAGAGUGACGCAGUUACAGCAGACAUGUCCGUGUUCUCUGUUUCUGCUCAUCUGACUCUUAGUUUGUCCUAAAUGUCUGAGUCUGUUGGUAUUUUCACUCAAUAACUGAACCUGAGUUUAAAUCUGACGACACAAGAUUAAAUUUAAGGUUUAAAUAAAGCUGAAAGUCACUGACUGUUAGAACCGAUCUGUCGUUCAGCCGCUCGGUCAAACUCCACACUUACAGGAUGCAACGUCUCGUACGGAAGUGACGUUGGAGUCACGUUUGAUGCGUUGGACCAAUAAAAUUUGAAUUAUCGAGCAAUGAUUUCAUGGUUCAGGAUUUACAGGUUUAACGUCCACUAGAAAGGAAAUGACAUUUUAAAUGAAGUCUCACUCAGUUUUGAAACAGUUUUUCUGUUCAAACAUUUUUGUGGGUGGAUGUUAACCAAACUGUAACCAUGACAACUGAAACUUUUUACCUAAAAGACUGAAAAUGAUUUUUAGAAAAAGACACAAACACUUACUGUUGUUCUCAAGAAAUCUGUUAAAUCCUCAAACACUCGUCUGAUCAUCAGGAUGGAACAAAAAUCCAUAUAAAGAUAAAAAGUGUGAGGUUGGUGUAAUCCAUCUGCUUUCUCUGUAGGUCAAAAUGAACCUACUGAAGGUUUAUUCAACACAAGCAAUUAGAAGAAAUAGUAAAUUAAAAUACUCUGUGUGUGAACUCGACUGUGUACCAACCAGCUUAACUAACCUGUCUAUCGUUUUGCUUUGACUUCCUGUUUUGCAGACAUCUCUUUGCAAAACCAUCCAACCGACAGUCGACCACAAUUGCAAAGUGACAGACGAAUUAAAGUAACAGGAAAUGAACCUGUAGAGAAAACCUUCCACUGUCUGUCAGUUAAUUCAGAUAAACUUGUUCUAAUAAAUAAAGUCAAAGGUCAUGACCUCCUGCACAGCUGUUCUGCAGAACUUUGUCCACCUUUGAUUGUCUUUAAGUUGUGUUGGAGCCACAGAGAGCAAAUCUUUGUUCUUUAUGGAGAACCAGUGAGGCUGUUUGGACUUUACUGUGAAACAUCAGUGCAGGAGUCUCUCAGUACAUCUGUUUACAGUGAGAAACUAUGAAGCAGCAGAAACACACACAGAGAAAACAUGUAGAGACAGUCAACAGCAAAUAGUCU
Long non-coding RNA from Oreochromis aureus, 1358 nucleotides. The record is from Ensembl. Lineage: Eukaryota; Metazoa; Chordata; Actinopteri; Cichliformes; Cichlidae.